GACGUAGGGCGCGAGCGUUGUCCGGAUUUAUUGGGCGUAAAGAGCGUGUAGGCGGCCAGAUAAGUCCGCUGUGAAAUCUCGAGGCUCAACUUCGAGCUGUCGGUGGAAACUGUCUGGCUAGAGUCCGGAAGAGGAGAAUGGAAUUCCUGGUGUAGCGGUGAAAUGCGCAGAUAUCAGGAAGAACACCCGUGGCGAAGGCGGUUCUCUGGGACGGUACUGACGCUGAGACGCGAAAGCGUGGGGAGCAAACAGG
Molecule: ribosomal RNA, 253 nt
Filed under: uncultured bacterium
Lineage: Bacteria
Description: partial 16S ribosomal RNA
Rfam family: Bacterial small subunit ribosomal RNA
Source: RNAcentral